GUAGGGAAUAUUGGGCAAUGGAAGGAAUUCUGACCCAGCCAUGCCGCGUGCAGGAAUACAGUCCUAUGGACUUUAAACUGCUUUUAUUAUAGAGUAACCUGGGGGACGUGUCCCCCACUGCAAGUAUAUAAUGAAUAAGCAUCGGCUAACUCCGUGCCAGCAGCCGCGGUAAUACGGGGGAUGCAAGCGUUAUCCGGAUUUAUUGGGUUUAAAGGGUGCGCAGGCUGAUCGGUAAGUCAUGGGCGAAAAGUCACUGCUUAACAGUGAUCGUGCCUAUGAUACUGCCGGACUAGAGUUUAAGAGGUGUAACUGGAAUGUGAUGUGUAGCGGUGAAAUGCUUAGAUAUGUCACAGAACGCCAAUCGUGAAGACAGGUUACAAACUUAAUACUGACGCUCAUGCACGAAAGCGUGGGGAUCAAACAGGAUUAGAUACCCGAGUAGUCC
This 445-nucleotide ribosomal RNA is filed under the name uncultured bacterium. RNAcentral describes it as "partial 16S ribosomal RNA". It matches the Rfam family "Bacterial small subunit ribosomal RNA", at positions 354 to 796 of the family's 1533-position model. The record is from RNAcentral.